This 894-nucleotide ribosomal RNA is filed under the name Triticum aestivum (bread wheat). RNAcentral's name for it is "partial small subunit ribosomal RNA". The record is from RNAcentral. Lineage: Eukaryota; Viridiplantae; Streptophyta; Magnoliopsida; Poales; Poaceae.
AUGGUCCUUGACGAUGAUGAGCUAGGAGACUGCUGCAGCAUCCCUGACAGGCCUGUAGAACCUAGACGGCCAAGUUAUGCCUCCCCUCUUUCCUUCCCCUCCUGUCAUGUCCAUAGCUUACUUAUCAUGCUGUCCAGAUUAGAUAAAUUUCUACAAACGUUGCCCUCGGAUUCGAGCUCAUUGGUCGCCGAUGGACCCCGGGAUGAAGGCGAUCAAGAGGCUGAUUGGGCUGCCUGGAGACACAUGAUAUCCGGAAGAUACCGGAUGGACACUGCUGGGUCGAAGAGGACAAUGGCAGCUUUGGUUGGAUCUCAAGAGCAUAUGGCAAUAUCUCAGUCUAAGCAUGGUUUGUUUGUUCCAGUAGUUAGGGAUGCAGAUAAAAAAGGCUUGGCUACUAUUGCCGGUGAGGUGAAGCAGUUGGCUCUAAGGGUAAAGGAUAAAAGUCUAAAACCAGAAGAUUAUGAGCCAUUGAGCCGUGGCUAUCUUGGCAUUGUCAUCACGGUACGAACACCUGGAACAGAGGGUGAUGUGACCAGCAGCAACGUAGUCGUCAUGCAGGGAGCCAAGGACAUGUGGCUGUUGGUGAAGGGCCUGAUUAGGAUGCCUACCAAGUUGCUCAACACCACCACCAGGAAGUUUCCCUAUGGUGCAAGUUUUGAGAUGCGGGUGCCCAAGAGGGUCAUUGACCUCAUCUGCUCCCUGAAUGUCGUCAAGCAUAUCACCAUCGAGAGGUUGAGUUGGCUCUACGAGCAAGGGAACAGAUUGGGCUCUUUGGCUUGGGUAAUUGUGUCAUCAAUGGAUUGGCAUGAUGCUAUGGGCAUCAUCACCCUGCUUGUUAUCAACCAGUACAGGCCACUUUCUUCCUCUGUCGUGCCACCGCAACCGGGCUGCUAG